Molecule: ribosomal RNA, 252 nt
Filed under: uncultured bacterium
Lineage: Bacteria
Description: partial 16S ribosomal RNA
Rfam family: Bacterial small subunit ribosomal RNA
Source: RNAcentral
UACAGAGGUCUCAAGCGUUGUUCGGAUUCAUUGGGCGUAAAGGGUGCGUAGGCGGCGCGGUAAGUCGGGUGUGAAAUCUGGAGCUUAACUCCGAAACUGCAUUCGAUACUGCCGUGCUUGAGGACUGGAGAGGAGACUGGAAUUUACGGUGUAGCGGUGAAAUGCGUAGAUAUCGUAAGGAAGACCAGUGGCGAAGGCGGGUCUCUGGACAGUUCCUGACGCUGAGGCACGAAGGUCAGGGGAGCAAACGGG